This 425-nucleotide ribosomal RNA is filed under the name uncultured bacterium. RNAcentral describes it as "bacterial SSU rRNA". It matches the Rfam family "Bacterial small subunit ribosomal RNA", at positions 354 to 776 of the family's 1533-position model. The record is from RNAcentral.
GUGAGGAAUAUUGGUCAAUGGGCGGAAGCCUGAACCAGCCAAGUCGCGUGAGGGAAUAAGGCCCUACGGGUCGUAAACCUCUUUUGCCGGGGAGCAAGGGCGGGGACGAGUCCCGGCCCGGAGAGUACCCGGAGAAAAAGCAUCGGCUAACUCCGUGCCAGCAGCCGCGGUAAUACGGAGGAUGCGAGCGUUAUCCGGAUUUAUUGGGUUUAAAGGGUGCGUAGGCGGGCUUUUAAGUCAGCGGUAAAAAUUCGGGGCUCAACCCCGUCCGGCCGUUGAAACUGGGGGCCUUGAGUGGGCGAGAAGAAGGCGGAAUGCGUGGUGUAGCGGUGAAAUGCAUAGAUAUCACGCAGAACCCCGAUUGCGAAGGCAGCCUUCCGGCGCCCUACUGACGCUGAGGCACGAAAGUGCGGGGAUCGAACAGG